AACACCUUCUUCUCUCCUCUGGACGUUCAUAACCUGCAGCAUAACAAGAGAAAUUUUCAGAGAAAAAACAAUGAGAAAGAAGAGAAAAAGUGAGAGAAAAAUCAGAAAAAAAAAGGGAAAAUUAACCACGACCUUAGAUGACUUUCUUCCAUCCUCUAGCUCAAUUCCCUGCUGUGUAAAAGAUCAGAAGUCCAGCCAUGAGUUCAGUUUAAGGGGAGGAUUAUCUGAGUUCAGAUGGCCAUCAGUUGCUGUUGUCAGUAGUUGAGUAAAGUUUAAAGGAUCACCUUGCUCAUCCAGUAGAACCGUACAAAGUCUAGAUGGUUAAGGAGAGUGGUCGGAUCAGCCGGAUCCUUGUGGUGGUUUUCAAUCAAGAAUGUUCCAGAAGCCGAGUGUGAUUAGCUUGAGCUUGAGUCUAGUCUUCCUUAGCCAAUCUCAUGGAUUUAAAGGUGAGUGUAGAUAGUUGAUUAAUUAAAGAGAUAUGAAUUAGUGUUGCAUGAUUGAAAAUGUAUAUGAUUGAUAGGCUUUGUCUCUUGAUCAAUAUUGAAUUGGUGAGGUGUUUACUUAGUGUAAAAGCUUAUUAAAUAUUCAUGAAUGUUCAUAGAGGUUUACUCCCGAGCCAUAGUACUUGUUCUCAAGUACUAAUAUAUAAUAUAAUUAAGUAUGGAAGUAUUAAUCAUGUGAAGUCUUAUUAUAAACCUGUCUUCCAAAAUAUUCCCGUAUGAAUGAUUAUUACUGUGUAUUGUUCCUGUGAUAUAGAACAAGGUCACGAAGACACGAUGAUAGGGUCGCACCUGGAGGCCGUGUAACUGCACGCAGCGUUAGAUGUUCGAUCUUUGAAUAUCUGAUGGCGA
Brassica oleracea var. oleracea is the source of this 851-nucleotide long non-coding RNA. RefSeq lists it as uncharacterized. The record is from RefSeq and is a predicted model, not a curated record. Lineage: Eukaryota; Viridiplantae; Streptophyta; Magnoliopsida; Brassicales; Brassicaceae. The transcript is spliced from 3 exons.